CGCGGGGUAGUCUAAUGGUAAGAUACUGGGCUCAUAACCCAGGGACAGAUGAUGCUUGUGCCAGUCCGACUCUGGCCCCCGCUA
This 84-nucleotide transfer RNA is filed under the name Methanobrevibacter sp. Its description in RNAcentral is "tRNA-Met". It matches the Rfam family "tRNA". Rfam says of the family: Transfer RNA (tRNA) molecules are approximately 80 nucleotides in length. Their secondary structure includes four short double-helical elements and three loops (D, anti-codon, and T loops). The record is from RNAcentral. Lineage: Archaea; Methanobacteriati; Methanobacteriota; Methanobacteria; Methanobacteriales; Methanobacteriaceae.